GCCCUUGUAGUUUAAUGGAUAAAACAGCUCCCUUCUAAGGAGCGGCUGCGGGUUCGAUUCCUGCCAGGGGCA
This 72-nucleotide transfer RNA is filed under the name Minisyncoccota bacterium. RNAcentral's name for it is "tRNA-Arg". It matches the Rfam family "tRNA". From Rfam's summary of the family: Transfer RNA (tRNA) molecules are approximately 80 nucleotides in length. Their secondary structure includes four short double-helical elements and three loops (D, anti-codon, and T loops). Lineage: Bacteria; Bacillati; Minisyncoccota. The record is from RNAcentral.